UACGGAGGGUGCAAGCGUUAAUCGGAAUUACUGGGCGUAAAGCGCAUGUAGGUGGUUUGCUAAGCCAGCUGUGAAAUCCCCGGGCUCAACCUGGGACUUGCAGUUGGAACUGGCAAGCUAGAGUAGGGUAGAGGGGUGUGGAACUCCAGGUGUAGCGGUGAAAUGCGUAGAUAUCUGGAGGAACAUCAGUGGCGAAGGCGACACCCUGGACUCAUACUGACACUGAGAUGCGAAAGCGUGGGGAGCAAACAGG
Molecule: ribosomal RNA, 253 nt
Filed under: uncultured bacterium
Lineage: Bacteria
Description: partial 16S ribosomal RNA
Rfam family: Bacterial small subunit ribosomal RNA
Source: RNAcentral